AAAAGGAAAAUUAGGUAGUUCACAGGAAACUAUGAACUGAAUUGACUCACUCACUGCCAGAGAGACAACACAUGACCCACCAGAGUGUAGGGCCCCUUUAAGAAAUCAGGGUGUGGUUCAUUUAUAAUAAAACAAUAAUUUUUUAAAAAGAUAGAAUCAGUGAAGUAUCAGGGUACACUCCAGGGCAGAAAGGUUCUUGGUGGUCUGGGAUCAACCUUGCAGUAAUACUUGGAUUUGUUAAAAAGAAAACAGAGGCGGCUAAAAAAAACAUAGCCUAAGAGGCCUGCACAUAAGCACAGACAGUCUGUACAGCCCAAAGCUCUCUGGAAGAACAAUGACACAAGCCUGAGCUUAAAGAAAAGUCUAACGGACCAGAAGCCUGACAGCUCAGAUCAGCUUCAAAAGGACAGGGCAAGUCAGUGAGCACUGACUUAGUGCCCCUCAGUUCCGGCUUCAGGAAGAAUAAAUUCCUCCACAAGGCACACAAGACGACAUUAGCCCGAGGGACCAAGGCUCUCAUGGACCAGUCGGCUUCAGGAACAGACUAUCUGCUGGCAGCUUUUUUUCCGAGAGAGACGGGACUGGGCGGAGGGGGGAGGGGGGAGGGAGGGCCGAGAGAUGGGGGGGAGGGUGGGGGGACUGGCUAUUUCCCUCUGGGGAUGGAUAGCAAAGAGAGGAUACACGGCUGUACCGUACAGGGAAGUGGGCACCACAAGGAGCGAGGGACAGGCAAACACGCAUCCCACCCGGUCCAACUACCUUUACAAAGUGGUCUUUGUCUCCGUAGUCUGUAUUAGUCACACAUCCGGCAGAUCAUCAUCUGGUGGGGAUGUAUCUAACAGAAACCUUCAGGAAGCAGGCCUGGUAACACCUUAAGGAAAGCCCUAGAAGACAUCAGCAUCCCUGAAUUGUCUAAGGUAAGAAUUGCCUCUAUACUUGUCCACGGUGGUCAUAUGUGUCUACAUCUCCAUAUAUACACCCUGGCCACACAUAUUCCCUAUGUUGGGGCCUUUCCACUCUCAUUGCCUACAUGUCUGCAUUCUUCCCAUGGCUGAUAUGUAUAUAUGUGGGGGAAUGUGUUCCAAGAUUUUCCUGUAAACAACACAUUGUAGGUUUUUAAUCUAUUCUGCUAUCCGCUUACAUUUUAUGGGACAGUUCAUUCCAUUCACAUUCACAGUUAUGAUUACUAUCUGUGACUUUCUCUCCAUCCUAUUUCAUCGCUGUUUAUGUUUUUCUUUCUCCUUUCUCCCUUUCCCUCCUCACUAGUGUUUUGCUUUUGACCACCACCUCCUUCAGUC
Molecule: long non-coding RNA, 1298 nt
Filed under: Phascolarctos cinereus (koala)
Lineage: Eukaryota; Metazoa; Chordata; Mammalia; Diprotodontia; Phascolarctidae
Description: lncRNA (ENSPCIG00000026930.2)
Source: RNAcentral